GGAGGAGGGGAAAACGAAAUGAAGAUAAAGUUCCCCAGAGAAUCUAUAUGACUUGAUUAUUCCAGAGAGAGAGAAAGGAGUGUAAAGAAGGAGGUGUAGAACAUGUAUCAAAACAAUGGGUUAAAUAUGUCUGUUUAGACAAACCAAUAACCAUUGUAACCAGCGUAGGGGAGGGAAGAGAUAAGGAGGAGAAAAGGGGUGGGGCGGAGAAUAUAUCUUUAUAUCCAGAAGUGACCUAGAGAUAAUCCAGGCAAUGCUGCAGUGCUGGUCGGGAGGAGCUUUCUGCACGGUCUGUGUUGCUCCGUGGAUACGCAGUUACCCAGUGUGAGGGGGCGCGGUUUGGUGUAGUCUGGACCCACCUCCACUCUGGGUCCCGGGAGUGAUGCCUGAGGCUCCGCCUUGGUGGUGUGGAGGGGGGAGGAGAUGGUGAUCCCUCAGUCUCUUCUCCACAGAGCCGGAUCAGGUGGAUUCUGUUUGAGUCUUCCUCACUGUACCGUGGGCGCAGGCGGGGCGGUCCUUCUCUCUCCACCAACUCCCCUGACCCUGCGCUUGGCUAGGUUUCAAAGUCCUGCUCCAUGCGCUGUGGCGCUGGGAAAGCGCCUCUCAGUGUGGCCCGAUUUGUGGUCCCAGCUGGCUUUGUCUGUGCCACUGCACUUCAUGGAGGACAGCCUUCUCCUACUGUGGACUGAGCCACUGCCCUUGCCGCCGUGAGCCCCCGGGGUGGUGGUCGCAGGCUGGCUUUGUCUUUUUCCACAGCACCCCAGGGAGACGGCCGCCUUUUCUUCCUGCAGACUGCGCCCUCAGUCCAGCCACUGCCACUGGGGGAGGCGGACGCAGGCAGGCUUUGUACUAUCCCACCGCUCUCCAGGAGGGAACUACUUUCUCCAACUUCGGACUGAGUCCCUGACAUACCACCACACCCAGGGAUGGCUACCCCCAUCCCCUGCCCGCCCUCCCUUGCCGGUGUGCGAACAGGGAGCCGGCCCAGUCGAAGAAAGCCCCGCAAUUAGAGAUCGGAUCCCUCUCAGUCUCAGUCCGAGGUCUUUCUCCUGUCCAGAUACGGUCCUACACUUCCCUAGCCGCUCUUUCUCUUCCCUUUGUCUCUCCGCAGAAGGGGGAGGGGGUCCCUCCUCUCCGUGCCCAUGCGGCUUUUUUUUUUUUUUAUCUCCCCCAGUUCGCAAUCACCCACCUAUCUUUUUUCCAGCUUUCCCAUUUUCUUCCUGGUAGAUUCAGUCUCUUUUCCUCCCAGGCUCUGUUGUUCAAAAUCCUUUGGCUUCUGCACUUCUUUGUUUGAGAGACGUGGGAAGUAUGGUUCCCACUACUUGUCGGCCAUGUUGGCCUCCUCUGCCUCAGGUGCCGUCUGACUCUGCUUCGCCAUUUUUUGUUGUCCCUCUGCCUCUAAGCCCACGCGAAAAUCGCAGGGCACUGGGGAGCAGGUGACGAUCCUCGGGCUGACAGAGCUUCCUCAGGAAGACGCGGCAUGACAGUUCAGAAGACAAUAGGAAAACUGUGGAGAUGAGAAAAAGUGGCAACAAAAAAUUGGAACAAGAUACCUGAAAAAAAAAGUUUUCUAGAGCCUUACUGAUUUCUUGGAUGCUUGUUCUGUCAGCUAUCAGAAGAGGCAAAGACUCAUCAGUUUACCCGACAGAACAAUUUCUAAUCAGGAAGUAGUGGAAGAGAUUUGAAUUGCUCAACAUCUUUGGAUGAGCCCCAGACAGUGUGUGUUUUGUGUAUAUGCUAAGCAAGCAGGGUGAAGAAGCAGUGCGGUUUUUCCGUCUCAUAUAUGUGCACAUGAUUCCAUGUAUUUCAAGAUGUUCUUUUACUUAGCUUUAUUUUGUUCAAUUUGUGUUUUUCUUUCCAUUGAGCACAUUUUGAAUGUAAGAUAACCACAAAGCGACAAAAGGUUGAAAUACAAACAAAAUGGUACAGAAUGAAAAAUGUGCUUGCUAGAGAAUUACUCUGUUGUAGCCUUCUACAUCAAUUACCACUUCUUAUCAGGUUUUCUUUGCCUUCUUUAGCGAGUACAGUAAACCUUGUCUAAAUUACAGUUUACAUCCGAACUUCACUUAUUCAUUUAAAAAUUUCUAUGUAUUAUGUAUAUGAAGUUACUUCAAUGUUCAGUUGACUUUUUUGUGUGAAUCUUGGCUUGGAGUUCAUCUUGACUUUUCUCAUUAAGAUUAAUGGAAUUCUUACCCAUGUCAAAUCGCUUAACUUAGCACAUUUUUCAGGAAUGAAUUAAAGUUGUUAAGUGACAGAGGUUCUGAUAUUUUGUUUAUAACAAUUUUUAGCUACUAUAUUACAAUAAUAAUGGGAACUAAGAUGUGAACUCUUCCCCUACACUGAAAGUACAGUAAGAAUUUAGUAUUGCACAUGGGAAAAAUGAGCAAUUAUAGUUCAUAUGUGUCAGUUGCUCAAGUGUAAAACUGUGAAGUAUACAUUAAAAUAGAUAUUGAAAACCAGUUAUCUAUUACUUUUGGUUGUUAGUGUUCAGUGUUGUUUAUUGGUAGUCAGUAUCCAUGUCCCUCCCCCCUAAGAUCUGCUUGUAUUAUAAGGAGUAGUCUGACUAACACUCCCUGGCAAUUAGGUUUCUAGAUGUGAUUUAGCUCCUGGUAAUGAGAUGUACUCCAACGAGGCUUAGAAUGUCAAAGGGAGGUGAAGGCCAGCCUACUUGUCCUGGUGAUCGUUUUGGGGGUGUUGUGCAGAAAUGAGUCUUUACAGCUGCCAGAACCCACUUUCCAGUGUGUGUUCAACUUCAUGGGCCACACUAAGAUGCUGACCUCUGUGUGUCACUUGUAUGAAGUCAAUGGUGAGGUGAAUUUGAAGCCCAUCAGUGUCUUGACUUUAGCUACUGCAGCCCCUUCCAACAAUUCUGUAAUUUUCUGCAAGGUGGGCCUUUCUGCUUGAAGUAGUUUGAGUACUAUUAGUUUUCGCACUAAAUUGUGACUAACUCCCAGCCCUGUGUAUGUGUGCACACACAUUCACAUAACCAUGUGAAUUUUAGGUUUAAUGGGAUUAUCAUUGGAUGCCUCCGGGCCAUAGGAUGGGCACAAAAUUACCCCAUUCAAAGUAGCCGGUUCCUCUCCAGGCAUAUGACAUAAGCAGAGAUAGAAUUCUCUAAAGGGAAUGAUUUCUUCAAGAGGAAUCUACUUAGAUUCUAAGAACUAAGGCCUGACUGAAUCUGGAGCUGCUAGAAUACCCUUCCUGAAAAUGAAGCAGAAGAAAUCAGAGUUAAUUGAUGAUGAGUAGGAGGGUCUAGUGACAAAGUUUGGACCCCUGGAUCCAGUCUUGCCUUGUAGCCACUUCUUGAAUUCUCUACUUAUGAAUACAUGCACACAAAGUUUUGUUUUGUUUUGUUUUGUUUGGGUUAAGAUCAUUUGAGUUAGGUUUCUGCCAUACGCCUUUUUAAAAUUUUUAUUUUUUUGAGAUAGAGAAAGAGUGAGAGAGUGUGAGCAUGAUGGGGAGAGGGGCAGAGGGAGAAAGAGAAAAUCUUAAGCAAG
This is a long non-coding RNA of Felis catus (domestic cat), 3497 nucleotides long. RefSeq lists it as uncharacterized. The transcript has 4 exons. The record is from RefSeq and is a predicted model, not a curated record. Lineage: Eukaryota; Metazoa; Chordata; Mammalia; Carnivora; Felidae.